RNAcentral lists this long non-coding RNA (2028 nucleotides) under Capsicum annuum. RNAcentral describes it as "long non-coding RNA (CANN_LNC005561)". Lineage: Eukaryota; Viridiplantae; Streptophyta; Magnoliopsida; Solanales; Solanaceae. The record is from RNAcentral.
CCAAAUCCAGAUUCUCCUAAUUUAGCACAAUGGGAGAGGUGUGAUGAUAUGGUUACCUCUUGGAUUUUGAACUCAUUGUUGAAGGAACUUGGGGAUAUUUUGCAGUAUGUCAACAAUGCCAAGGAGCUUUGGGAUGAAUUGGAGGAUGAUACGAUCAGGCUAACGGAGCAAAAUUGUACCAAUUGCAACGUGAGAUUAAUGAGCUUAGCCAGGAAAGCCUUGACAUUACUGGAUACUACACCAAAAUGAAAAAGCUCUGGGAAGAACUUAGCACUUUGGAUACAAAUUCUCAGUGCUCAUGUUUGUGCAUCUGUGGCGGUAAGGCAAAAUUGCACAAGGCUGAGUAAGAUCGGCGACUCAUUCAAUUUUUAAUGGGAUUGAAUGAGGUGUACACAAUAGGCAGGGGUAGUAUUUUGAUGAUGAACCUGUUGACCACUAUGGUUCAAGCUUUCUCUAUUUUAGCCCAAGAGGAGAGACAAAGAGAGGUCAAACCUCAUAACAAGUUCAAUCUAAAGCCUACUUCUCUCCUUGGGAAUGCUACUGGUACUAGCACCAAUUUAAAAAGAAACUAUACCCCAUAAAGAGGCAAUGGGGGUAGUAGACCUCCUAGCAAAUUCCACUUGUUUUGUGACUAUUGUAGGAAGACUGGUCAUACUAAGGACAAGUGUUAAAAGUUACAUGAUUUCCCCUGAAUUUCAAGUUUACAAAAGGAAAAAAUAUCAGAACAACAACUGCUGCUCAUGGUUUUAUUGAAGAGAUGAUGGGAAAGACUUAUGAAAGGGAUAAUGAGAGGUCAAAAUAAAAGAGCAUUGAAAGGAAUGAUGGUGGAUAUAGCCAGGAAAAGAAGAGUCCAGCCAUAACUCAGGAAUAUUUUAACCAACUAGUUGGUUUACUGGAAUAAUUUCAAGUUCAAGUAGGCAAUAAUACUGGAAAUACUGCAAGAGAAGCUGCAAACAACAUUAUGGGCGGAGCUGUGAAUUUUGCAGGUAUUCUAGCAUGCUACUCUUCCAUUACUGAUAUUCGUGAAUUAUCUUGUGAGUGUUAUGAACUAUCUGUUGAUUCAUGGAUCAUAGACUCAGGGGAAACACACCACAUGACCUUUAAUAAGUCACUACUUACAAAUACUAGACCUUUGCCUUAUCCUUUUCUGGUUACCUUACUAAAUGGCUAUAGAGUUAAAGUGACAGAAUUGGUGAUGCUUGUUUGAAUCCUUCACUAACUUUGCAUAAAGUAUUGUAUGUACCUAGUUUCAAGUUCAAUUUGAUUUCAGUUCAUUGCCUAGCUGCAUUCUUCAAAGAAAUUAUUAGUUUCAGUAGUUUUUCUUAUUCAGUGCAAGGCACUUCACUGAAGAGCCCACUGGAGAUUGGUAGAGCACAAAAUGGACUCUACUUCUUAUGCUCACGGUGUCACAAUACACGUUCUAAUUCAUCUUUUACAAAUGGAUCCUCUAAUUCUGUGUUUGUUUUCUCUAGUUUACCUCCUACUCAUUCUAGUAUUUCUAUUAUUAGUGCCGCCACAACACACACAUACUCCACCACUCCACUUGUAAGAUCCAUCUUUUGGAAUAAUAAGACUGUGGCUCUUGAUUCUAAGAAUUCCUCAGUACCUUCUAAUGUGAGUGAUUUUGAGCUCCCAUCUAAUUAUAGUAAGUCAUUCAUGUCAAAUAUGUCCCACAGAAACAAUGUAGAUCACUUGUGGCACAAUAGGCUAGGCCAUGUGCCUUUUAUAAAGAUGAGAAACAUCACUUCAAUCCCUGUAAAUUUCUCACCUAGACAACUUUUUUUAUGUUUUAUAUGCCCUAUGGCCAGACAGACAAGAUUUCCAUUCCCAACAAAGACUACUCCCUCUAGUUCUAAAAAAUUUUAUCUGCUAUACUUGAAUUUAUGGGGACCUUACCAUGAACUAACUCAUGAUAACUACAAGUAUUUCCUAACCAUUGUUGAUGACUACAGUAGGUCAACAUGGACCCAACUUCUCAGUUGUAAAAGUAAUACUCUUCAAGCUCUAAAAGGUUUUGUGUCUCUAGUA